CCCUUAGAUGUUCGGGGCCGCACGCGCGCUACACUGAAGGAAUCAGCACGUCUUUCUCCUUGUCCGAAAUGACUGGGUAACCCGCUGAACCUCCUUCGUGCUAGGGAUUGGGGCUUGUAAUUCUUCCCCAUGAACGAGGAAUUCCCAGUAAGCGCGAGUCAUAAGCUCGCGUUGAUUACGUCCCUGCCCUUUGUACACACCGCCCGUCGCUACUACCGAUUGGAUGGUUUAGUGAGAUCCUCGGAUUGGUCCCGGCGCGGCCUCUGGUCGUGCCGGAGUGCCGAAAAGAAUGUCGAACUUGAUCAUCUAGAGGAAGUAAAAGUCGUAACA
Molecule: ribosomal RNA, 330 nt
Filed under: uncultured eukaryote
Lineage: Eukaryota
Description: partial 18S ribosomal RNA
Rfam family: Eukaryotic small subunit ribosomal RNA
Source: RNAcentral